This is a long non-coding RNA of Thalassophryne amazonica, 162 nucleotides long. RefSeq lists it as uncharacterized. The record is from RefSeq and is a predicted model, not a curated record. Lineage: Eukaryota; Metazoa; Chordata; Actinopteri; Batrachoidiformes; Batrachoididae. The transcript has 4 exons.
CGAGUCAUAAAGUAACACUAUGACGUCAGUAGAGCUGUUGAAUCAAUCGUAGCAUCACGUGAAGUCAUUCACUUCUUAAUGGGGUCUUUCCACAUGUCAAAACUCAGGAAGUGAUGUCACUACUAUUGACCAUGUACAACUCCGACAGAUCCCCCCCCCAAA